Molecule: non-coding RNA, 71 nt
Organism: Phrynosoma platyrhinos (Desert horned lizard)
Lineage: Eukaryota; Metazoa; Chordata; Lepidosauria; Squamata; Phrynosomatidae
Source: the annotation of a GenBank genome assembly
GCCAGCAUGGCAUAGUGGUUUGAGUGUUGCACUAUGAAUCUGGAGAGCAAGGUUCGAAUCCCUGCUUGGCC